Molecule: long non-coding RNA, 291 nt
Filed under: Solanum tuberosum (potato)
Lineage: Eukaryota; Viridiplantae; Streptophyta; Magnoliopsida; Solanales; Solanaceae
Description: long non-coding RNA (STUB_LNC000492)
Source: RNAcentral
UCCCAAUGAUGCAACAUUUAUAUCAAUGACUCAAAUUCAUAUGCCAUCGUCACACUUCAUCUGGCUUCAAGCUGUGAGCAUAACCCAAGUAUUUCUUGUGCAAAGACUGAUUCAAGUGAGAUCUACCAAUAAUGGAGGUAAAUCAAUUUACAGACGACAUCAAAAUGUACAAGCGAAACACAAUAUUACCAAAAUAUAAGCACACUGUGCCACAUGAAUCCAGUGCUUUCUUGGUCAUGACCAGCUAAGGCUAAAGUUCUAUUAAAGAGCCUUUCCACGUGGUAGAACCUC